Molecule: non-coding RNA, 3692 nt
Organism: Pelobates cultripes (western spadefoot toad)
Lineage: Eukaryota; Metazoa; Chordata; Amphibia; Anura; Pelobatidae
Source: the annotation of a GenBank genome assembly
AUCUUUGACAGUGUUUAUUUAGGGACACAGCUUUUUAUGCACAGACGCCCGCAGGGGGUCUCCAUCCAACACAACAUACUCAUGCAGAUAACCGUCUCCCGCUCUUGGAGAUACUAACAGGGACAUGCAUGAGUACACAUUAUAUACGGGGGGUGAACUUUAGUGCUCGGCUCCCCGGGACGGGAAGGUGGUACAGGGUUACACUUUAUACGGAUGAAUAGCCCCAGUUCCCCCCAAGACACCUGCAAAAAGUGGGGCAAUCGGAUGUACAGAGCCAGAGAUAUCAGUGUCGAAAGUCUGGGGCUCGAGGCUCUAUACAUCCCAAAAAUUAGUUCCAUGAUGUUGCUUGGUUUAGUCCGGCGAAUUCAAACUUCGCACCCAAACCAAGCAACAACCAAUCAGCCGAAAGGGCGCAAACUAAAUCGCGCCAACCAGCGUUAGGGGAAGGAAGGAGUUUUGCCACCCAAUCCAAAGAAAGGGCAUGAAACCUGAUGACACCAAUCUGCUGAAAGGCGCAAAACUUAUUCCAAUCAGUGCCCAGGGACGAGAGGCGUUUCACCGCCUAAUCAGAUGGAAGGGCACAAGACCCUGUUUGAACAAGCGCUCCUUCUCUGAUUGGUCGCCGCUCCCUGCAGCAACCAAUCAGCGCUUUACUUGCGCUGACCAAUCAGGAGAAUAGUCCGAACCCAGCUUAAAUGGGAGCUCCCUUUCCCAUUGGUCUCCACGGAUUUCCAUGCGGCCAGAGGGAACCCUGUGGCUGUGAGACCGCUUCACAGCCCCAGGGGCUCCCUGCUGGCUGGCGUCCCUCUCUCUGGUGGGCACACUCAGAUGUCCGCUGGAGAGCGCGUUCGCCUGGGUAGCCACGAGCCUAGCCUCGUAGCUCCCAGGUUUGAGAGUGGCAAGUGAUUAUAGCUCUGUUAGCAGCAGGUCGAAGACAGUGUACAAAUGCCAGUUUGGGAGUCGAAUGCUCCCUCUAGUGGGUGUUCAGUGAGACAAGCCAGCGGCCACCCAGAGGAAGCAUGCGCCGCUCGUGGUCCAGCGCACGGGGCUCUGUGGCGGUCAAAAGGUGUAUUGCAGGAUUUUAUGGGCAAAAUUACAGAAAGAGGAAUAUGAAAGAGGGGAAACACACAUUCUAGGAGGGCACAUCCACACAUAUAAAACAAGGCAAUUCACAGUGUAGGCAGCGUUUAAAUUACAAUACAUAUACAAACAAAACCAAACGGUAAAUACAGAGAAGUAUGCAUUUUAUAACAUUUGAAGAUAUUUUAUUUAUCCUCUUUUUUUUGUGUGAUCAUCCCAACGAAUAAAGCCGCCCUUAUCUUAUUGAAAUAAACUUUUUUUAAGUUAUACGUUUUAGUACACCCAUGUGCCUUUGCUUGUUUAUUUCCCACAACACCAUAUGUUCUUCACUAUUUCCCCAAUUGUUCCCUUAUUUGAACGUUAUAACAAACCAUGUUGAGCUUUUGCCUCUUCAGAUCCAGACAAGGAUCCUUUCUAGUUGGUGCUUGUACCAAUUAUGACAUGAAGGUGUAAUUUAACAGGUUCAAAAACCUGAUUACCCUCCUUGAAGGACUCCUUCAAUCACAAUCUAUUUCCAGAUAUGUAGCUUUCCCCAAUUGGCUCUAACAGAUGUUAUUCCUCAAAGCCGAUUUUAUUGCCUUAUUUGUGUGUCCUAAUUCCAAGUUGUAAACUUGUAAUAGGUGCCAAAAUCUGCCAAUGUGCUGUUUUUGUUGUUUUCUUCAAACAUGAUUUCUACACACUUAUUCAAUAAUCCUUGAAUGAUAAAAAUACAUUUAAACAUUUUUGGUAUACUUUUUGAGAAGAAAUUAUACUGUAGGCUUCAUGGGAUUUGGCCUACCACCUCUAUUCACUAAAUAGUUGUGCAUGAAGGGAAGGUAGGUACACAAAUUCCAGUUAUGACUGCAUUUUUUGCAAUUCUUAUAAUGGGAUCAAAACAAAAGCAAAUCAGAAAUACAUUGCUAAUAAUAUAGAUUUAUUAUAUCUAGGUGAUAAGUGACAAAGAGUGUAUAAAGUUCCAGGCUGAAUACCUACAUUUUAAAAGGACACUAUAAGCACAAAAAUAACAUUAGCUUAAUUGAGUGUUUUUGGCAGUUAGAUUAUGUACUUCCUUUCAAACCUCUAAAUUCUCUGCCAUUUAGUAGUUAAAUCACUUUGUGUAUGCAGACCGUGUCACAUCUUCCCAGCAUGUGGCAUAUACAGUCUGCCUACAUAUUUCCUGUGAAGAGAAACGUAAUGUUUCAACUUCCAUUCAUUGCACUGUCUGUUUACUUCAGAAUUUAUCAUAUACUGCUCAGUUAACCGCCUGCUACAGCAUGAUUGAAGUUAAAUCAACAGUGUUGGAGAUGAAAACUAAAGUAAACACAUGGUUGUCACAUGUGACUGAAAAUGAUCCUUCCCCCCCCACCUCCCGUUUAGGCUAUGCGAGUCACAGGCAGGGAUGUGUGGCUAAAACAAACGUGAUUUAAUUCCUAAAUUAGAUCUACCAGUGGUUCCCAAACCAGUCCUCAAUGAACUCAUACCAGUCAAGGAUUUAGGGAAUACUCUGUUGUGUCUAAGAUGGGGUUUUUUCCACUAAAAGACACCUUAGACACAACUGGGUAAUCCCGAAAUCCUAGACUUGUAGGGGUGCCUUGAGUACUAGUUUGCGAACCACUGGUCUGUACACAUAAAAAAUAACUGCUUCAAAAGUUUUCUUGGUGCUUAUAAAUAGUACUUUAAGCGUAUUGCACAAAAUCAUACAAUAAAAAUACCACACACAGCAAAAUCAAAAUGCACACUAGAAGUUGGUCUUAUACGUUUGUUAAAUUACAGACUUUCCAAAGCAGCUCAGUGAGAAGUCUUUCCAAGGUAGGUGCUCUGAGCAAUUGCCUGUCUCUUGAUUUUAGCUCCACUGAGACAGACAAACCAGGAAAUAACAGGAAGUAACAGGACAUGUCUGCUUGAAAGCUGGAUAGGUGUAAAAAAGUUAAUUUAUAAAAUGGACGAUUUCUAUUUACACUUUUUGUAAAAUAAGGAAGAAAAGAAUAAACUUGUUUUCCUGGCACUAUAGCUUCCCCCUCUGUCAAGCGCCCCUACCUUGUGGUGCAGAAGGGGUUAAUAACUCCCUUGUCACUACCCGGGUCUAGCGCCGAUGCACUGGUCCACCUUUGCUCCUCAAUGGCCGCAUUAGGAUUUCUCAAUAGGAAAGUAUUAUACAAUGCUUUCCUAUUGGGUCUUGCUUGAAGCUGGACGCCCCCAUGCAUAGCCACUAGAGGAGGAGUUAACCCUGAACGGUUAUUAUUGCAGUUUCUUAAAAACUGCAAUAAUUACUUUUGCAGGGUAAAGGGCCCUGGGACAGUGCAUCCAGACCACUUCAAUGAGCAGUAGUGGGGCCCUUUACCCUAAAUCCCUUUCCUCAUAUGUUGAGGUUAGGACUCUAUCAAAUAUUCUGUACUCUGCCCUUGGGUUUUUACGUCCAAGAUGCAUUAUCUUGCACUUAUCCACAUUAAAUGUCAGUUGCCACAAUUCUGACCAUUUUUCUAGUUUACCUAAAUCAUUUGUCAUUUGGCUUAUCCUCCUGGAACAUCAACCCUGUUACAUAUCUUAGUAUCAUCAGCAAAAAGACAUACCUUACCAUCAAGACCUUCUGCAAUAUCACUAAUAAAAAUAUUAAAGAGAAUGGGUCCAAGUAC